This is a long non-coding RNA of Lolium perenne, 3171 nucleotides long. RefSeq lists it as uncharacterized. The record is from RefSeq and is a predicted model, not a curated record. Lineage: Eukaryota; Viridiplantae; Streptophyta; Magnoliopsida; Poales; Poaceae.
UCCCACCGCUUCCGACCACGCCAAUAUCUUUGCUCCAUCUCCCCCAUCUUCUGCCUCAUCUUCUCAAUUCCUCCACACCGUCGCCGCCAUGCUCCCCGGGCCAGCACAUAUUUGGUGUCUCAGCGCUCAAUCGGCGACAGGAGGCUUGCACCGGCGAGGAAGGUCGGCCACCACAUCGAAGAGACGCGCAAGUAGGCCGAGAACGGCGCGCCUGUGAUCGGGGCGAGGUCCGCGACGGAGAAGGCCGGCCAGGCUCCGCGGCGAAGGAGGCUGGCGCGGUGCCGGGUCGUGCCGGCGAGCAGCAGGUCUCAAGGGCCGUGCCUCUCGCCCGUGGAGCCGCCACUCCUGCGUGUUACGGGCGCGCGAAGGCGGGGCUCAAGGGCAUGUGCAGGCUCAACUGCUCGAGCAGAGGCGGCGAUGAUUUGAGGUCGCGGCGAUUGCGGCGUGAGACGGCGGCGACUCAAUCGGCGUGUGGCAGGUGAAUCCUUUGCCAUAACUCCGCUAACCUCUCCUAAAACAGCUCUAUGGUGGCACUUUACCGCACCCUAGAGCGCCCCCCAAUCCAGCAAAAGAGCUAGCGGCGACCUCUGGCACAGAGCGCCCUACUUUGGUGGCGGCCGAUGCAGAGGCGAUGAACACGAGGCCGGGGAUCGAGGUGGCUGAGGAGGAGGAGGAGGAGGAGCCGGAUAUGGAGGAGGAGGAGGAGCCGGAUAUGGAGGAGGAGGAGAGGCCAAAGGGGAUGGGAAGCACGAGCAGGAGGUGCACGGCGGCAAAGUGGAGGCCGUCGUGCAAGGUCUGCGGGUCUGCCGUACGCUAACUGUUGUUCACACAUGGGGUGCAGCCUUCUUUGGCGGUAGUCCUGCCAGUCCAUGUUCCUUUCCCUGAGAUCUGGCUACUUCCCUCCCUGUAUGGCGGCCACCUCAUGCCCCACGGACGAUGGCACCGGCGAAUUUAGCAGAGGACUAGCUAUGGAGGAUGUUGCAGGCUCUACAACAAGGUGCAAUGUUCCCAUAUCAUCAGCACUUAUAUUACUGUCUUGACCUGAUGGGGGUGGCGUUGGUGUUCUGCUUUUUGUGCUUCAGGCAACAAGUAAAACGUUUUGCUGGAAAGAACAUAUACAAAAUAUGUCGAGUGAAGAUAGCUCUUGAAGCUUGCUUCCUUUCGGUGGGAGCACUGUGGAAGCAUGUCACUGUGGAAAACUGCGGUUUUAUGAGGUGAUUUUAAGCAACUAUUUUCAGUAGUUAAAGGAGGUAGCAGGGAUGAGAUAAUUGAUUCUUUACUUAUUAAAUCGCUACUGUGGAAGCACUGUGGAGCAUAUUACUGUGCUUCGGCGUGCUUGGCCAAUUUUCUCAGAAACGGUUUCGUUCUGUAAGGUGAUUCCUGGUUUGCCUAGACCAUGUUGUAUAUCUGCAACUUUUUUGUUAUUAAAAGGAAAAACACGUUUUCUUUUGAUGUGCAUUCCCUGCUUGCAGUUGUGUCACGCAAUAUUUGUUUUCCUACUUUUACCAUUGCCCUUAUUUCUUCAUUUUGGUUGACGACCCCUAAUCUCCUGCAAAAUGAAGAAAAAAUGUGGCCGAGGUCACUCACCAGUCAGGCACUUUUGCUGCAGGAUACAUAGCGAGACUGCUACUACAUGGGUCAGCGAGUUUUGAGGGCUUCAGGGUCAUGACCCUUCUCAAGGAAAAAGUCUUGAAGGGCAUAGUGCUAAGGCGGACGAAAAUAUGCUGAGAUGUAGAUCUUGCUCUUCCACCAAAGGUUGUAAGUGUUAUAUACUUGAUGAAUUUAAUAAAUGCUCUUUCUACCACUUGCAAGAAGAUUUUUACACCUUAGGUGACAUUGAGUCGGGAUAUACAUGAUGGAUUUAAUUUCUCCUCUUCUCACCAGUUGCACGAAGUUUAAUUUGUACAUCUUAGGUGAGUCUCUUUUGAUAAAAAUGAAAUGGAAUUUUAUGAGGCAUUAUAUUCUCAGAGUUGCACUCAGUUUGAUUUGUAAGUCCUCCUUACCUGCUUAUGUAGUGAUACCAUAUGGAUUAUUUCGUAGGCAUCAUUAUGUUAUUAUCUUUAUUCUGCAAAAGUUGGAAAACAAGUUUCUUCUGAACAAUAACUUUUUCUUUCGAAGCUUCUAACAGCUCUGUCAAAGGGCGGCCAACCCAGCGCACUCACCAAAAAAGCAAGCAUUAGCCGUUUUGUAGACCCAGUGUGGUGGCUUUAAGGUUCAUACCGAGUUUGUGCAUGCCUUCGUGUUUUGUAGACCCCAUGCUUGAUCUGAAGGUCACUCUUCUUCUAUCAUCAGUAUCAUUACUUCUAUUCAAAGAAAUGCAACCAUUUGCUUUUGUAGUUGAAAAAUUAGCACCAUAUUUGUCUCUUUCGAAGGCCAUUCAUCUUUUAUCAUCAAUUCUUCAAUUACGUUCCGAAGAUGUAUUUUUUCUUUGAUUUAACCAUUCAGAUUUACAAUGUUGAAUCUGCCAAAGAAACUAGAGUUGACAUGACCAUAGCCUCGAGAGAUUCAAGACCAUCAGAAAAUCAAAUAGGUGGUAUUAGAGCCUUACUUUCUUUGGGUUAUAGAGCCAUUGCCAUCACACGGGUUCUCGAUGCCACUGAUUGGGCGAGAACCGAGAAUCUUACCGUGGCGAAGAGUGCUGGCUUUGCUGACGGUGAAAAUGUUGACCACCUGACAAAGGAAACAAUAGUCCUCCCAGCCAUUCACCUUGGUCAAGGGAAAGGAGAUCAUUGUUCUUUCUUAGGACGAUGAAGACUACCUGCAGUUUCAGGAUCUAUUUCAUGCAGCCAAAAUCGGACAACUCGGCAGACCGGCCACAUUUGAUAGUUGGCUCCAAAGCAUACAUAUAAUGGAUAGCCUCUACUGAUGCGUUUCGUCUUUUGUAAGCAAUAUGUCAUGUUUGACCACUAUUGUUCACGGAUAAUGAUGGAACACAUUGACGACUGCAUCACUGGAUACUAAGUCUUGCUGAAGACCAGGUUGGCUUACUGAUCUAUGAUGCCUGCUUUUGACAGGUUGGCUGAAACAUAGACCAUAUAAGCCUUAAAAAUGUAGAACUGCAGGGGCACGCAUUGUUUUGUAUGGCAUAAGCAGCAGCAUCUGCUUAAUCUACCAUUGAACUAUAGGUUGUAACUCAUAUUUGUGUGUACAUAUAUCCAUGAAAUUUCCCUA